AAUGAACGCUGGCGGCAGGCCUAACACAUGCAAGUCGAACGGGUCCUUCGGGACUAGUGGCGGACGGGUGAGUAACGCGUGGGAACGUGCCCCUUGGUACGGAAUAGCCCCGGGAAACUGGGAGUAAUACCGUAUGUGGUCGAGAGACGAAAGAUUUAUCGCCAAGGGAUCGGCCCGCGUUGGAUUAGGUAGUUGGUGGGGUAAUGGCCUACCAAGCCGACGAUCCAUAGCUGGUUUGAGAGGAUGAUCAGCCACACCGGGACUGAGACACGGCCCAGACUCCUACGGGAGGCAGCAGUGGGGAAUCUUAGACAAUGGGGGGAAACCCCUGAUCUAGCCAUGCCGCGUGAUCGAUGAAGGCCUUAGGGUUGUAAGGAUCUUUCAGGUGGGAAGAUAAUAGACUGUACCACCAGAAGAAGACCCCGGCUAACUACCGUG
RNAcentral lists this ribosomal RNA (438 nucleotides) under uncultured bacterium. RNAcentral describes it as "bacterial SSU rRNA". It matches the Rfam family "Bacterial small subunit ribosomal RNA", at positions 29 to 507 of the family's 1533-position model. The record is from RNAcentral.